ACUCAAAUGAAUUGACGGGGGCCCGCACAAGCGGUGGAGCAUGUGGUUUAAUUCGAUGCAACGCGAAGAACCUUACCUACCCUUGACAUCCACAGGAUUUUGCAGAGAUGCAGAAGUGCCGAAAGGAACUGUGAGACAGGUGCUGCAUGGCUGUCGUCAGCUCGUGUUGUGAGAUGUUGGGUUAAGUCCCGUAACGAGCGCAACCCCUGUCCCUGGUUGCCAGCGCGUAAAGGCGGGGACUCCAGGGAGACUGCCGGUGAAGAACCGGAGGAAGGCGGGGACGACGUCAAGUCAUCAUGGCCUUUAUGGGUAGGGCUACACACGUGCUACAAUGGUGCGUACAGAGGGUCGCGAACCCGCGAGGGGGAGCCAAUCUUACAAAGCGCAUCGUAGUCCGGACUGGAGUCUGCAACUCGACUCCACGAAGUCGGAAUCGCUAGUAAUCGCGAAUCAGAAUGUCGCGGUGAAUACGUUCCCGGGCCUUGCACACACCGCCCGU
RNAcentral lists this ribosomal RNA (499 nucleotides) under uncultured bacterium. RNAcentral describes it as "partial 16S ribosomal RNA". It matches the Rfam family "Bacterial small subunit ribosomal RNA", at positions 899 to 1397 of the family's 1533-position model. The record is from RNAcentral.